RNAcentral lists this ribosomal RNA (270 nucleotides) under uncultured bacterium. RNAcentral's name for it is "partial 16S ribosomal RNA". It matches the Rfam family "Bacterial small subunit ribosomal RNA", at positions 30 to 302 of the family's 1533-position model. The record is from RNAcentral.
AUUGAACGCUGGCGGCGUGCUUAACACAUGCAAGUCGAGCGGCAGCGCGGGGCAACCUGGCGGCGAGCGGCGGACGGGUGAGUAACGCUUGGGAAUCUGCCUAUUAGUGGGGGACAACCCGGGGAAACUCGGGCUAAUACCGCAUACGAUCUAAGGAUGAAAGCCGGGGACCGCAAGGCCUGGCGCUAAUAGAUGAGCCCAAGUCGGAUUAGCUAGUUGGUAGGGUAACGGCCUACCAAGGCGACAAUCCGUAGCUGGUCUGAGAGGACG